RNAcentral lists this ribosomal RNA (439 nucleotides) under uncultured bacterium. RNAcentral's name for it is "partial 16S ribosomal RNA". It matches the Rfam family "Bacterial small subunit ribosomal RNA", at positions 338 to 795 of the family's 1533-position model. The record is from RNAcentral.
CCUACGGGAGGCAGCAGUGGGGGAUAUUGCACAAUGGGGGGAACCCUGAUGCAGCGACGCCGCGUGGGUGAAGAAGCGCCUAGGCGCGUAAAGCCCUGUCAGCAGGGAAGAAAAUGACGGUACCUGAAGAAGAAGCCCCGGCUAACUACGUGCCAGCAGCCGCGGUAAUACGUAGGGGGCAAGCGUUAUCCGGAUUUACUGGGUGUAAAGGGGGCGCAGACGGCGAGGCAAGCCAGGAGGAAAAGCCCGGGGCCCAACCCCGUGACUGCGCUUGGAACUGCGUGGUUGGGUGGACGGAGGGGAAGCGGAAUUCCUGGUGUAGCGGUGAAAUGCGUAGAUAUCAGGAGGAACACCGGUGGCGAAGGCGGCCUGCUGGACUGCAACUGACGUUGAGGCCCGAAAGCGUGGGGAGCAAACAGGAUUAGAUACCCUUGUAGUC